UUUAACACUUGGCAAACUUAUUGAAAGAUAAGGACGCAAAGCUACAGGGCCUUCCCUCUAUAAGAGGUUGGCAGCCAGUUGCCUGA
This is a non-coding RNA of Clostridium sp. KLE 1755, 86 nucleotides long. The record is from Rfam. NCBI's taxonomy places the organism in Bacteria, Bacillati, Bacillota, Clostridia, Eubacteriales, Clostridiaceae.